Molecule: long non-coding RNA, 253 nt
Organism: Oreochromis aureus
Lineage: Eukaryota; Metazoa; Chordata; Actinopteri; Cichliformes; Cichlidae
Source: Ensembl
UCCAAAUGCGCCGUCGAUUUCCCCAAAUAUCAAGCGUGGUCCGGUGCACGCUUCGUGGCCCCAUAUAUCCCACAAUCCAUAGCGCGGCGGUGGGUGUGGAUAAUUUUGCCGCAAAAUACGGCAGAAGGGAGCGGCUGAAGAGUGAACUGUCAAAACUUAUCACACAUUUGAUUUCCAUGUGUGACAACUGCAAGUGUCCAGAGUGAGGACAGACUGAGGGACCCACUGCUGCACAUCAUCUGUGAGGCUUUGC